Molecule: ribosomal RNA, 468 nt
Filed under: uncultured bacterium
Lineage: Bacteria
Description: partial 16S ribosomal RNA
Rfam family: Bacterial small subunit ribosomal RNA
Source: RNAcentral
GACGAACGCUGGCGGCGUGCUUAACACAUGCAAGUCGAACGGAAAGGCCCUGCUCUUGCGGGGUGCACGAUUGCCGAACGGGUGAGUAACACGCGAGUAACCUGCCCUUAUCUUUGGGAUAACUUCAGGAAAAUCCGGCUAAUACCGGAUAGGAUCUCCUGCAGCAUGGGGGGGGUUGGAAAGUUUCGGCGGUUGGGGCUGUUCUAGCGGCUUAUCAGCUUGAUGGUCGGGUAGUUGCGUACAAAGGCUUUGACGGGUAGCCGGCCUUGGAGGGUGGACGGCGACCAUGGGACUGCGAUACGGCGCAGACUGCUACGGGACGCAGUGGGGGGGAAUAUUGCAGAGUAGGCGGAAGCCUGAUACAGCAACGCCGCGAGCGGGAUGACGGCCUUCGAGUUAUAAACAGCUUUCGACUGUGACGAACAGUUAGUGACGGUACUGGGUAAAAAAGCACCGGCUAACUACGUG